AGCGGAUGAAGGGGAGCUUGCUCCUGGAUUCAGCGGCGGACGGGUGAGUAAUGCCUAGGAAUCUGCCUGGUAGUGGGGGAUAACGUUCCGAAAGGAACGCUAAUACCGCAUACGUCCUACGGGAGAAAGCAGGGGACCUUCGGGCCUUGCGCUAUCAGAUGAGCCUAGGUCGGAUUAGCUAGUUGGUGAGGUAAUGGCUCACCAAGGCGACGAUCCGUAACUGGUCUGAGAGGAUGAUCAGUCACACUGGAACUGAGACACGGUCCAGACUCCUACGGGAGGCAGCAGUGGGGAAUAUUGGACAAUGGGCGAAAGCCUGAUCCAGCCAUGCCGCGUGUGUGAAGAAGGUCUUCGGAUUGUAAAGCACUUUAAGUUGGGAGGAAGAGCUGUAGGCUAAUAUCCUGCGGUUUUGACGUUACCAACAGAAUAAGCACCGGCUAACUUCGUGCCAACAGCCGCGGUAGUACGAAGGGUGCAAGCGUUAAUCGGAAUUACUGGGCGUAAAGCGCGCGUAGGUGGUUCGUUAAGUUGGAUGUGA
This 538-nucleotide ribosomal RNA is filed under the name Pseudomonas sp. RNAcentral's name for it is "bacterial SSU rRNA". It matches the Rfam family "Bacterial small subunit ribosomal RNA", at positions 65 to 597 of the family's 1533-position model. Lineage: Bacteria; Pseudomonadati; Pseudomonadota; Gammaproteobacteria; Pseudomonadales; Pseudomonadaceae. The record is from RNAcentral.